AACGACUCUCGGCAACGGAUAUCUCGGCUCACGCAUCGAUGAAGAACGUAGCAAAAUGCGAUACUUGGUGUGAAUUGCAGAAUCCCGUGAACCAUCGAGUUUUUGAACGCAAGUUGCGCCCGAAGCCAUUCGGCCGAGGGCACGUCUGCCUGGGCGUCACGCAUC
RNAcentral lists this ribosomal RNA (165 nucleotides) under Cirsium setidens. Its description in RNAcentral is "5.8S ribosomal RNA". It matches the Rfam family "5.8S ribosomal RNA". Rfam says of the family: 5.8S ribosomal RNA (5.8S rRNA) is a component of the large subunit of the eukaryotic ribosome. It is transcribed by RNA polymerase I as part of the 45S precursor that also contains 18S and 28S rRNA. Lineage: Eukaryota; Viridiplantae; Streptophyta; Magnoliopsida; Asterales; Asteraceae. The record is from RNAcentral.